This 1506-nucleotide ribosomal RNA is filed under the name metagenome. RNAcentral's name for it is "bacterial SSU rRNA". It matches the Rfam family "Bacterial small subunit ribosomal RNA". The record is from RNAcentral.
AGAGUUUGAUCAUGGCUCAGGACGAACGCUGGCGGCGUGCCUAAUACAUGCAAGUAGAACGCUGAAGAGAGGAGCUUGCUCUUCUUGGAUGAGUUGCGAACGGGUGAGUAACGCGUAGGUAACCUGCCCUGUAGCGGGGGAUAACUAUUGGAAACGAUAGCUAAUACCGCAUAACAAUGGAUGACACAUGUCAUUUAUUUGAAAGGGGCAAUUGCUCCACUACAAGAUGGACCUGCGUUGUAUUAGCUAGUAGGUGAGGUAAUGGCUCACCUAGGCGACGAUACAUAGCCGACCUGAGAGGGUGAUCGGCCACACUGGGACUGAGACACGGCCCAGACUCCUACGGGAGGCAGCAGUAGGGAAUCUUCGGCAAUGGGGGCAACCCUGACCGAGCAACGCCGCGUGAGUGAAGAAGGUUUUCGGAUCGUAAAGCUCUGUUGUAAGUCAAGAACGGGUGUGAGAGUGGAAAGUUCACACUGUGACGGUAGCUUACCAGAAAGGGACGGCUAACUACGUGCCAGCAGCCGCGGUAAUACGUAGGUCCCGAGCGUUGUCCGAAUUUAUUGGGCGUAAAGCGAGCGCAGGCGGUUUGAUAAGUCUGAAGUUAAAGGCUGUGGCUCAACCAUAGUUCGCUUUGGAAACUGUCAAACUUGAGUGCAGAAGGGGAGAGUGGAAUUCCAUGUGUAGCGGUGAAAUGCGUAGAUAUAUGGAGGAACACCGGUGGCGAAAGCGGCUCUCUGGUCUGUAACUGACGCUGAGGCUCGAAAGCGUGGGGAGCGAACAGGAUUAGAUACCCUGGUAGUCCACGCCGUAAACGAUGAGUGCUAGGUGUUGGAUCCUUUCCGGGAUUCAGUGCCGCAGCUAACGCAUUAAGCACUCCGCCUGGGGAGUACGACCGCAAGGUUGAAACUCAAAGGAAUUGACGGGGGCCCGCACAAGCGGUGGAGCAUGUGGUUUAAUUCGAAGCAACGCGAAGAACCUUACCAGGUCUUGACAUCCCGAUGCUAUUUCUAGAGAUAGAAAGUUACUUCGGUACAUCGGUGACAGGUGGUGCAUGGUUGUCGUCAGCUCGUGUCGUGAGAUGUUGGGUUAAGUCCCGCAACGAGCGCAACCCCUAUUGUUAGUUGCCAUCAUUCAGUUGGGCACUCUAGCGAGACUGCCGGUAAUAAACCGGAGGAAGGCGGGGAUGACGUCAAAUCAUCAUGCCCCUUAUGACCUGGGCUACACACGUGCUACAAUGGUUGGUACAACGAGUUGCGAGUCGGUGACGGCGAGCUAAUCUCUUAAAGCCAAUCUCAGUUCGGAUUGUAGGCUGCAACUCGCCUACAUGAAGUCGGAAUCGCUAGUAAUCGCGGAUCAGCACGCCGCGGUGAAUACGUUCCCGGGCCUUGUACACACCGCCCGUCACACCACGAGAGUUUGUAACACCCGAAGUCGGUGAGGUAACCUUUUGGAGCCAGCCGCCUAAGGUGGGACAGAUGAUUGGGGUGAAGUCGUAACAAGGUA